UGGGUACCGGAAGUACUUCCAUAGGUCCUGAUAGUGUAGAAUUCUUAGUGGCCAAGGUUGAGGCCCCCCACAGGGUGUGCAGAGCUUGUAAUGAGUUUAAUUUGAGAGGGAAAAUGAUUUUCAUUAUAGUUAUAAAAAACACAAGGGAGUUCAAAUGGAAUUUCUGUGCCAGUCUACAAAGAUGCACAUUGAGACAGCAAGUCAGAUGUCAUGCUUUUAGGAGACUGUGUCCUCAUGGCAUCCAAUCUGAAUGCGAAGCCAAAAAAAAAAAAUCACAUCAUUCACUCAUUCACUACUC
RNAcentral lists this long non-coding RNA (298 nucleotides) under Homo sapiens (human). Its description in RNAcentral is "non-protein coding lnc-CDRT15-7:1". The record is from RNAcentral. Lineage: Eukaryota; Metazoa; Chordata; Mammalia; Primates; Hominidae.